Molecule: long non-coding RNA, 223 nt
Filed under: Ricinus communis (castor bean)
Lineage: Eukaryota; Viridiplantae; Streptophyta; Magnoliopsida; Malpighiales; Euphorbiaceae
Description: long non-coding RNA (RCOM_LNC002484)
Source: RNAcentral
CCUCCCCCCGUCGACUGUCUUCUUCCCCGCGCCGCCUACGUGCCGCCCAGCUCGCCGCCGCCGUCGCCAGCGCCUUCCUCCCUUCCCGCCGCUCUGCAGCAGCUCUCCUUCCCCUUUCCUCCUUUCCGCCGACGUUAGCCGAAGGUAGGGAGUUGUCUUCGCCGUUUGGCCUCUUGCCGGCUUGUUUUCGGCGAUCUGGCGCCGGAAUCGGACUCCCCACCCC